CCUAUCUUUGUGCACUGCAAUGUUAUGGUGCAUUUCUCCCCUGCACAGUUAUCACCUAGAUAUUUAACCCACAUCUAUUUUUACAACAUAUUUUUCUUGCUUUUUCAAUCUACUUUUUCUCAUUAGAAUAUGUUUGGGUUAUUUUUGUUCUUCUAAAUUAAAGAGUAUAAGCCACACGAGAAGAACACGAGCAUAUACAAACCGAGUACUCCAAACUCCGAAUAGAACUCCACUCAUUUUAUCAAUUAGGUAGUUAAAUCUAAAAUACCAUGACCACAUUGAUUAGUUACCUCUCGGCCUACCAAUAACUAUAGUCAAUUUUAACAAGUCUUUGUCGAAGCAGUCCAUCCGCCUUUUUUAUGUAGGGAAAGGUGUAAAUUUAUAUAAUUUAUAUAAUAAAGAUAAUUUU
Paramuricea clavata is the source of this 409-nucleotide non-coding RNA. The record is from the annotation of a GenBank genome assembly. Lineage: Eukaryota; Metazoa; Cnidaria; Anthozoa; Malacalcyonacea; Plexauridae.